GGUGAGAUGGCCGAGCGGUCUAAGGCGCCAGACUAAGGAUAUCAACUUAAGAUUUCCAAUAUCUGGUCUCUUCGGGGGCGGGAGUUCGAAUCUCCCUCUCAUCA
Tephrocybe sp. NHM501043 is the source of this 104-nucleotide non-coding RNA. The record is from the annotation of a GenBank genome assembly. Lineage: Eukaryota; Fungi; Basidiomycota; Agaricomycetes; Agaricales; Lyophyllaceae.